CAGCAGCAGCCGCGGUAACACGAAGGGUGCAAGCGUUGUUCGGAUUUACUGGGCGUAAAGCGCACGUAGGCGGAUCGAUCAGUCAGGGGUGAAAUCCCAGAGCUCAACUCUGGAACUGCCUUUGAUACUGCCGAUCUGGAGUAUGGAAGAGGUGAGUGGAAUUCCGAGUGCAGAGGUGAAAUUCGUAGAUAUUCGGAGGAACACCAGUGGCGAAGGCGGCUCACUGGUCCAUUACUGACGCUGAGGUGCGAAAGCGUGGGGAGCAAACAGGAUUAGAUACCCGCGUAGUCCCUGUCUCUUAUAC
RNAcentral lists this ribosomal RNA (304 nucleotides) under uncultured bacterium. Its description in RNAcentral is "partial 16S ribosomal RNA". It matches the Rfam family "Bacterial small subunit ribosomal RNA", at positions 506 to 807 of the family's 1533-position model. The record is from RNAcentral.